This 383-nucleotide ribosomal RNA is filed under the name Adriamonas peritocrescens. Its description in RNAcentral is "partial small subunit ribosomal RNA". It matches the Rfam family "Eukaryotic small subunit ribosomal RNA", at positions 30 to 432 of the family's 1831-position model. Lineage: Eukaryota; Bigyra; Bicosoecida; Siluaniidae. The record is from RNAcentral.
GCUUGUCUCAAAGAUUAAGCCAUGCAUGUCUAAGUAUAAGCAUUAUACAGUGAAACUGCGAAUGGCUCAUUAUAUCAGUUAUAGUUUAUUUGAUAGUCCCUACUAUUUGGAUAACCGUAGUAAUUCUAGAGCUAAUACAUGCGUCAAGCCUCGACUCACGGAGAGGUGUAUUUAUUAGAUACAACCAGCCCUUCGGGUUUUCGGUGAAUCAUAAUAACUUUCGGAUCGAUCUUCGGAUCGAUGCAUCAUUCAAGUUUCUGCCCUAUCAGCUUUGGAUGGUAGGGUAUUGGCCUACCAUGGCUUUAACGGGUAACGGAGAAUUAGGGUUCGAUUCCGGAGAGGGAGCCUGAGAAAUGGCUACCACAUCCAAGGAAGGCAGCAGG